GACGAACCGAGCGAACGUUAUUCGGAAUCACUGGGCUUAAAGGGCGCGUAGGCGGGCGAUCAAGUCAGGGGUGAAAGCCCCCAGCUCAACUGGGGAAGUGCCUCUGAUACUGGUCGCCUCGAGCGAGGUAGGGGCGUGCGGAACUUCCGGUGGAGCGGUGAAAUGCGUAGAUAUCGGAAGGAACACCGGUGGCGAAAGCGGCGCGCUGGACCUCUUCUGACGCUGAGGCGCGAAAGCCAGGGGAGCGAACGGGAUUAGAAACCCUCGUAGUCC
This 273-nucleotide ribosomal RNA is filed under the name uncultured bacterium. Its description in RNAcentral is "partial 16S ribosomal RNA". It matches the Rfam family "Bacterial small subunit ribosomal RNA", at positions 524 to 796 of the family's 1533-position model. The record is from RNAcentral.